Long non-coding RNA from Corvus hawaiiensis (hawaiian crow), 375 nucleotides. RefSeq lists it as uncharacterized. NCBI's taxonomy places the organism in Eukaryota, Metazoa, Chordata, Aves, Passeriformes, Corvidae. The record is from RefSeq and is a predicted model, not a curated record. The transcript has 2 exons.
GCAGCAGCGGGUGUGGGGCUGGACAUUGGAACCACCUGGUGUAAGGUGGAGCAUCCACCCGGUGUGGGGCUGAACAUCACCUCAUAUGGGGCUAAGAGGUCACCUCAUAUAGGGCCAAGCAUCACCCCAUACAGGGCUGAGCAUCACUAUGGGGUCACCGCUGUCCAGCACAGGGCUGAGCAUCAGUAAAGGGCUGAACACCAGUAUGGGGCUGAGCAUUGCCCAGUACGGGGUCAAGCAUCAAUCCAGGGCUGAGCGGCAGCACAGGGAUCCCAAAAAUCCUAAAGCUCCAGGGAAGGAUCAAAGCCCAAGAUCACCUCCAGCUCUGAGGGACACAAAAACGGCCUUUUGAAAUUAAAAUUUAUCAUUUUAUAA